GCAGGAGGCUGGGGACGUGCAAAAGGUGCGGGACACCCUGUGGGACGCUGCCUGCUGUCCCCGCAGCCUCCCUGUGCUUCACGGCUGUGGCUUUCGCUUCAGAGGUGGUUGGAAGUCACAGCAAAGGAGAGGUGAAGCCCGCCAGCUUCCUCCUCCAUUGCCAGCAGGGUGAACAUUGUCUCUGCAAAUGCACACUGCCAGCCUGAAAGUGGUCCUUCGAUAGCUGGGUGUAUGGGAAUAUAGAGGAAGAAUGGCGAGGAGGUUAGUUAAAUGUAAAUACGCUCAAGUGAUUUGCACCUGUCUGUAGAAAAAGCACAUACAUCACACUAAUUGUUUUACUGACCUUGUGUGCUUGAUGAGUAGAACCUCUGUGUUAGAUAACAUAGGCCUGUGAGAAACUCCAGGCACCUUAUCACUGUGUCUGAGAUUCCUGCUUUGUUGUGAGAAAGAGCGGGAGGCUGUGCCUACAGGCGAGAUCAGCAGGGAUCUUCCAGCAGGGCUGAACUGACCAGCGCCUGCGUCCCCGCUGGUGUCACCUCUGUCUGGGAGCUCAGGUGUGGCUUCGGAGAUCUCCCAGUAGAGAGGACUAGAACUUAGCACAACAAUAAAGUGGCAGGAACACAGCCUGGUUCAGCUCUCAAACACUGCAGGAGGCUGCAAGGACACCUAAGCUGCAGAUAAACUUCCCAAGUAGGGAACAGCUCAUCUUAAGAAAUGCACGUGACGGUUCUGGUGGGAUUUCUGUAGAUGCUGCGUGUACCACAUGGCUGUGCACGGAUUUUGGAGCCAUCCAUGAUGUGGGGAAGAUACUGCAUCCCUCACGCAGUCUCUGGUUACCAAGGCAAAGGCAGGUUCAACCUGGUGAUUCAUUCUUCCUGCAGCUAUGUUUCCAGGAAAAGACAAAGUGCUGGCCCUUCUCCAAGUUAUCCAUAGACUGGGAGUAAGUUCAGAAAGCACUCCUCCUGCAGCUGGGACACUUUCUAAGAAGGGAGAAAUUGAACAAAACAUCCCAGAGCUGGUAUUAUCGCCCUGCAGACAAGCAAGGAGGCGCCUGGCCUUGGAAAGGCAUGUGCAGUACUAAGUCAAGCGCUAGUGCGGGGGAAGAGCAGCCCUCCUCCCUUCCCCUUUGCAGCAUUACACACCAAGAACAAGUAUGAGACCCAUGGGAAGCGUCAGCCAAAACCAAAACCUUCACGCCCAAAUAGCAGUGAGACACGUCACAUACUCCAGCCACUCCAAGUUCCCAGCACUUUGCAUCUUUUCAGGACAAGUAUGUGGGGUUUUGGCCCUCGACGGCUGAGUCCCGGUGCUCGGCUGCCUGAUGAGCCACUCUUGCUCGCUUCUUCGCCCUCCAACGAGGAUCUCUCACUGCCCAAAACCGCAGCUUUGGCAAAAGGUUCUCUGAGGCCGCUCCAAAGCCCAGACUUAGCAGAAGUCUCGACUUGCUGCAGUUGUACCUCCUUCCACCAAAGCCGGGCAGCCACAUCACAUGCGCUGGCAUGGCUGCAAGGAACAGGAUGGACGCGGUUUAAGGAACGGAUACUCGUUGUCCUGGCUUGCUGAGGUGUGCAGAUUUUCCUGUGAUUCCUAUCAUCACUGUGGACAGAGCAGGCUCAACUCCACCAGCUUUGAGCCGCUGGACAGGCCCUAGCAGCACAGCUUGCUCAGCUCCUACCACUUUUUAAUAUAGACUCAGCCAGCUGCAAACACUAAGGGUAUUGCCUUUCUGGUGUAAGAGGGUGAAUUACACCAGUUUUACUAUUAAAUCAGCGCAGGUGCAAGCCAGUUCUUAUUCUUGCUCGAGAAUUAAUUACUUCGUGAAACCACACCAGCCCUCCAGCUUUCUGCUUUUCCCCCACCGUCCUCACCGAAAAUCAGUGGGUGCAAGGCCAGAGGGAAGAGAACACUGACUUCUGAAUGGCUGUUUUGUGUGAAACCCCUUCAUUUCUCCCUGACUCAGCCGAUAGUCGAGUCCUGGUCCUCCCAAAACCCAGGAUUAGGGCUCGCCAUCCUACAGCUUUCCAAGCAGAGGACGAAAGCUGCAGCGGUUCAAAAGCACUAAAAGCAAAUCUCUGAGGCCCUCGUGUAAUCCACAGCGAGGUCAGAUUUCUCCGGACUAACAAGGCUUUACAAACUGUCAGUAGCGUGUGUGGAGAGGCUUAACUAACACAGCUUAGAGAACUUGCCAGCAAGUGAAAAAGUAGAAUUUGUUAGUCUGAGGGAAUAAUUAUAAAUAAUUUGGUUCCUCCCUUUAUUGUGCCUGAGAUUAAGUUGCACAGAUUCUAGAAAUGCAGCAUCUAUGGCUUCCUCUCUGCGAUCACAUGGGAGAGCCAGUGUUAGGAUUUGUCCUACAAGAUGGAGCAAAACCCUGAGCCUGCCUAUCUCUGGAAUAACUGCCAGCACAACAGCAGCGUUUUGUAAUACUUUACGUGUUCUUAAGUCUUCUGCAGGGCCAUUCUUCUUAUCAGAGCCCAGAGGUAAAUUUUUGUGGCGAUAGCGAGGCGAUCCACUGCAGGACGACUUAAGUCCGUGUUUAUCAGGGCCUCUGGCUGCCGUGGGUGUCUUGCCCUGUAAUCCGCCUUCCCUGGGGCGUAUUUGAGCAUUCCAGUCCUCUGGGCAGCUCUCGGGUAGCUCAGACCCACCACGCGAACCCGCAGCUGCCGGAGACUUUCAAUACAGCGAACCAGCAGGCAGGUGAAACGCAGGGCAGCAAACCAUACGGAUGCAGCAGGGACAUUCCAUUGCUUAUGCUCAACUGCUGGAGGGACUUCACCCCAAAGUGACCAGAAGCGACUCCCAGGUGGCCGCCGUGAGCCCCCACCGCCCAGCUGCCCACUUGGCGUGUGUGGGGGUAGGUGAGCACGACGCUCCGGACCAACAUGGAAGCCCUUAAAACCUUUAAUAAUGGGGGGAAAGAGCAAGCGAGGCUCGCAGCCAACCUUUAGAGCUCCCCGGAGCAGCACGGAGGCUGCCGGCGUCCCCCGCUGAGCCUCUCUGGGCGCAGCCGCCGCGGGGACAGCACGCAGGCGAGGUGUUAUUUCUCUUAUUUAUUAAUACAUUUCUGUAUUUUU
Molecule: long non-coding RNA, 3071 nt
Organism: Columba livia (rock pigeon)
Lineage: Eukaryota; Metazoa; Chordata; Aves; Columbiformes; Columbidae
Exons: 5
Source: RefSeq, a predicted model, not a curated record